RNAcentral lists this unclassified non-coding RNA (2117 nucleotides) under Leishmania donovani. RNAcentral describes it as "gene:LdHU3.29.0570(CDS-product:hypothetical_prote in_conserved)". Lineage: Eukaryota; Euglenozoa; Kinetoplastea; Trypanosomatida; Trypanosomatidae. The record is from RNAcentral.
UGCACCACACCCACUCCGAGAUUUGCUGGCUUGUGGAGUCCGCGGAGGACAACAAGCGACCACCCUUCAUGUAUUCCCUGCGCACCGUGCAACCCUUCACUACCAUACUCAGACACACGCGUACACCGAGAGACGACAGUGGCGCCACAGGCGAUGCUGUCGCUUCUCAUCGAUCAAUGUGGCGCCGACGCGUCGGACCUCCCGCAGCUCGUGCGACUGAAUGAGCUGAUUCGCGCGGAGGAAGAAGGGACUGGCGGCGGUUCCAUAGCGGCGCAAACCCCAGUCGCGACUCAGGCACCCACCUCUUUACCACUGGCCGCUCCGACCGUCGCACCUGCCGAAGGCACCCGCGUUGAGAGGCAAGCAGCGGAGCCCCCCACGCCGUCCGUGUCGACACCCGCCAAGGACAACACAGCGCUCGGUUUUCUGCUACACCACUGCGCCCGCCCGGAGGAGCAGGCACAGUGCACGGCGCUACAGCGGCUACAUGGACUGCUGCUCGAGGAGACGCACGAGGGAGGCGCUGACGAGUCCGUCGAUGGGAACUUCUCCCCGCUCAGGGCCAAGCCACCAACAGUGGCUCCCGCUCAUGCUGCCGCCGCUGUUGUGGCUGACGCAAUCAAGCCACCACACAAACAUGAUCAUCCGGCGCUCUCAGACGUCGGUGCUAUGCAUCAGAACUGGAUGGGCGCCACCACCGCCGUACCUUCGCCCGCACUGCCGGGGUCAGCACCCCCGCCUCCGCCUUGGCUGAGCAUCCCGGUGCCAAUUUUGCCAGGUGCCGGCGAGUGGAAGGGGUCCACUUACUUCCGUGCGGAGACGGCGGCGUCGCCCCAACCGUUGGCCCAGCCCGUGCCGAGGCACGCUGUGUCUGCCGCUUCUGCCACCGAUGUUGCUGCCGUGGGGGUUGACAGGAAUGCGAUGAGUAACGGGUCCGAUGCAUUGCGGGCCAACUCGCCCCUUCCGCCCUCGGCAAGCAAGGAGCUACCCCCGAGCGACGACGACAAGCAGGCCGAAAACAAGCAGGCGCCAGCCACUGUGUUGCUUCCUUCCCACGCUUCCCUCACCGAAGAGACAUGCGCCGCACAGACGGCCCACGAGACGCCUGCUGCAGGUGAAGGCGGACGUGCCGAGUUGAAGGCUACCACCCCUCUGCGACCGCGCCAUACUCCGCUCACUCCCUCCUAUGCUGGCCGCAUGCCGUGCCCGGCCAGCGAGGCGCUCGCCGCGCGCAACAGCGCAACUGCUCGGCUGCUCGCAGGUGGUGGAGCGACCCGUGCGGCAUCUGAAACGCCGCCGGCGUCACGCCCCAUGUCUGAGUUUGCGAAACGCUUCGUGACGGGGCUCUACGAAAAGGUCGGCACACCGUGCGUUGAAGCCUUGUCGUCGCCCAUACCCUGGCAGCACCAGCACCACACGCGGCAUCCACCUCAGGUGCUCGCCGCCGGGAGCGGUGUGGGAGCCGCCCGUGGCCGUCGUGCCUCGUCGGAGAGGUCACUUCUUCGAGCGCCCUUGGCGGAAAUGUGGCAGUCAAGGCAGGCAGACGACGCUUAUCACGUCCCGCCGGCACAGGAACGAGUGUCUCUGCUUGCACAGAAGGUGGCGACGCGGCCGAUGCUCCGUACACCCACGCCGCUUCAGCACGACCACCAGCAUGGAGGUACUGGCUCGGAGCCGCUGCGCCCUCAUCGCAUUGUUCCACACCGCCCGGCGGCCGGGUCGCCUGCGGUACUGCCUAGUGCCCGCCCUUUGCGCCGACACUCCACCUUUCCACACAGUGCUGAGGGCAGCAGCGGCACAGCUGCAGUUGAGCCUCUCUCAGACCUGAUGGUAGUUGGCGUACGCAUCCGUCUGCCCGUUCUGGGUCCUAAACGCCCGCGGCACGCCUGAGGGCGUGGCGCUUGUUGCUGAACAAGGAUAGGAGGGAGGGGAUGGGACAGCGAGCAGAGCCUACAACGUCAGUGCCGCCUAUUUUCCGCCCUCCUCUCCACACACCGCCCUCGCCGUACUUUGUGGUGCUUUCUUCUCUCGCUCGCGUUCUCGUGCUUUAGAUGAGCCGUCUCACGUGCAUUUCGAGGUGCAACUGCAACAUCCGCUAAAGAUGAAGCGACACCAAC